This 508-nucleotide ribosomal RNA is filed under the name uncultured bacterium. Its description in RNAcentral is "bacterial SSU rRNA". It matches the Rfam family "Bacterial small subunit ribosomal RNA", at positions 28 to 533 of the family's 1533-position model. The record is from RNAcentral.
GAUGAACGCUGGCGGCGUGCUUAACACAUGCAAGUCGAACGGGGGUUGAGGGACGGAACCUUUCGGGGGGAAGGCCCUUGACUCGAGUGGCGGACGGGUGAGUAACACGUGAGUAACCUGCCUUUUGCUGGGGAAUAACUGUGGGAAACCAUGGCUAAUACCGCAUGUGGUGUUCACGGGGCAUCUUGUGGACAUGAAAGGAGCAAUCCGGCAGAAGAUGGGCUCGCGUCCGAUUAGGUAGUUGGUGGGGUAAGGGCUCACCAAGCCUGCGAUCGGUAGCCGGACUGAGAGGUCGAACGGGCCACAUUGGGACUGAGACACGGCCCAGACUCCUACGGGAGGCAGCAGUGGGGAAUUUUGGGCAAUGGGGGAAACCCUGACCCAGCGACGCCGCGUGAAGGACGAAGGCCUUCGGGUUGUAAACUUCUUUAGGGAGGACGAAGAUGACGUACCUCCAGAAUAAGCCACGGCUAACUACGUGCCAGCAGCCGCGGUAAGCACGAGAGUA